Long non-coding RNA from Lolium rigidum, 397 nucleotides. RefSeq lists it as uncharacterized. The transcript is spliced from 3 exons. Lineage: Eukaryota; Viridiplantae; Streptophyta; Magnoliopsida; Poales; Poaceae. The record is from RefSeq and is a predicted model, not a curated record.
GGCCACGUAAAUAUCCUCACAAUAUCCCAAUACCAACAAGCCCCGACAGAAAAUUGUCUGGAUACUUAGUAUUUAGUUUUAUGCUUUCAUGGGAUGGUAAAAGAUUUGUUCAUCCAGUUUGCAGCGAUGGUUACGAGCUAAGGAAAAAGUUUUUGAUACACAUACUCAAGUAUCUGGCUAAUGAAGUUGAAGACAACAUUCCUGAGAUCGUGCGAGAAUACCUUAGACGCGUCAACGGACCAUGGCUUUAAUAAAUAGUGUAUUCAGUCAUUUCUCUUCUACAAAAUGAAUUGUGCGAAGUGGAUCUUUAAAUAUUUUAAGUAUUAAAUAUUUAUUUUAUAUACUUUAAUAUUUGCAUGCAUUAUUUACACGUAUAUGCAUUUGACACUAUGUUAAA